UUUAAUUCGAAGCAACGCGCAGAACCUUACCAGCCUUUGACAUGGCGGGACGGUCGAGAGAGAUUUCGACCUUCACUUCGGUGACCCGCGCACAGGUGCUGCAUGGCUGUCGUCAGCUCGUGUCGUGAGAUGUUGGGUUAAGUCCCGCAACGAGCGCAACCCACGUCCUCAGUUGCCAUCAUUGAGUUGGGCACUCUGGGGAGACUGCCGGUGAUAAGCCGCGAGGAAGGUGUGGAUGACGUCAAGUCCUCAUGGCCCUUACGGGCUGGGCUACACACGUGCUACAAUGGCGGUGACAGAGGGACGCGAGCCCGCGAGGGUGAGCCAAUCUCGAAAAGCCGUCUCAGUUCGGAUUGCACUCUGCAACUCGAGUGCAUGAAGUUGGAAUCGCUAGUAAUCGUGGAUCAGCACGCCA
This 415-nucleotide ribosomal RNA is filed under the name uncultured bacterium. RNAcentral's name for it is "bacterial SSU rRNA". It matches the Rfam family "Bacterial small subunit ribosomal RNA", at positions 945 to 1359 of the family's 1533-position model. The record is from RNAcentral.